RNAcentral lists this ribosomal RNA (66 nucleotides) under Streptomyces albidoflavus. RNAcentral describes it as "partial 23S ribosomal RNA". The record is from RNAcentral. Lineage: Bacteria; Bacillati; Actinomycetota; Actinomycetes; Kitasatosporales; Streptomycetaceae.
GAUAUGGAAGCCCUGUAAGGGGUGGAGUUGACCGGUACUAAUAGGCCGAGGGCUUGUCCUCAGUUG